GUCUAAUACCGGAUAUGAGCUCCUGUCGCAUGGCGGGGGUUGGAAAGGUUUACUGGUGCAGGAUGGGCCCGCGGCCUAUCAGCUUGUUGGUGGGGUAAUGGCCUACCAAGGCGACGACGGGUAGCCGGCCUGAGAGGGCGACCGGCCACACUGGGACUGAGACACGGCCCAGACUCCUACGGGAGGCAGCAGUGGGGAAUAUUGCACAAUGGGCGAAAGCCUGAUGCAGCGACGCCGCGUGAGGGAUGACGGCCUUCGGGUUGUAAACCUCUUUCAGCAGGGACGAAGCGAAAGUGACGGUACCUGCAGAAGAAGCACCGGCCAACUACGUGCCAGCAGCCGCGGUAAUACGUAGGGUGCGAGCGUUGUCCGGAAUUACUGGGCGUAAAGAGCUCGUAGGCGGUUUGUCGCGUCGUCUGUGAAAACCCGCAGCUCAACUGCGGGCUUGCAGGCGAUACGGGCAGACUUGAGUACUGCAGGGGAGACUGGAAUUCCUGGUGUAGCGGUGAAAUGCGCAGAUAUCAGGAGGAACACCGGUGGCGAAGGCGGGUCUCUGGGCAGUAACUGACGCUG
This 573-nucleotide ribosomal RNA is filed under the name Rhodococcus sp. (in: high G+C Gram-positive bacteria). RNAcentral's name for it is "bacterial SSU rRNA". It matches the Rfam family "Bacterial small subunit ribosomal RNA", at positions 161 to 748 of the family's 1533-position model. Lineage: Bacteria; Bacillati; Actinomycetota; Actinomycetes; Mycobacteriales; Nocardiaceae. The record is from RNAcentral.